CUUUUUCUGGUGUGUUUGCAUGCACCUUAAAGACUCUUGAGCCGAUGCUAUGAAACUUGGGAGCUAGACUGCUAUCACUGUUGUGCAAGUCCACCUUGUGUGGAAAGCCUGAAGAGAUACAUAGGCGCCCACUUGAACCCCUGGGUUCAAGACCGACAGGUAGCGGCAUACUGGAUUAAGC
This 181-nucleotide non-coding RNA is filed under the name Candidatus Berkiella cookevillensis. RNAcentral describes it as "Legionella-like amoebal pathogen CC99 6S / SsrS RNA". It matches the Rfam family "6S / SsrS RNA". Rfam says of the family: E. coli 6S RNA was the first non coding RNA to be sequenced, but its function was unknown until recently. It consists of 184 nucleotides that fold into an extended hairpin structure with a large single-stranded internal bulge. Lineage: Bacteria; Pseudomonadati; Pseudomonadota; Gammaproteobacteria; Candidatus Berkiellales; Candidatus Berkiellaceae. The record is from Rfam by way of RNAcentral.